This 224-nucleotide long non-coding RNA is filed under the name Prunus dulcis (almond). Its description in RNAcentral is "sRNA ncRNA". Lineage: Eukaryota; Viridiplantae; Streptophyta; Magnoliopsida; Rosales; Rosaceae. The record is from RNAcentral.
AUGUCGUCGUUUUCCUCUUAUCCUAUAAAAAAAUCCUAAAAGGUUUAAAAGGUGAAGUAAACAAGCGAAGUACUGGGCACAUGGGGAGCGGGAGUGGAGUGGGCUGCUUCCCUUCAAGUUUGGCUGCCUCAAUUCUCAAGUCGGGUUGUUCUACUUCAACCAAAAAACCAAAACUCUCAAGUCGGGUUCAUAUCAUGGGAAGUGGACCAGAUGAGUUGGACUAA